RNAcentral lists this ribosomal RNA (475 nucleotides) under uncultured organism. RNAcentral describes it as "partial 16S ribosomal RNA". It matches the Rfam family "Bacterial small subunit ribosomal RNA", at positions 331 to 797 of the family's 1533-position model. The record is from RNAcentral.
GUACACUCCUGCGGGAGGCAGCAGUGGGGAAUUUUGGACAAUGGGGGCAACCCUGAUCCAGCAAUGCCGCGUGAGUGAAGAAGGCCUUCGGGUUGUAAAGCUCUUUUGUCAGGGAAGAAACGGUGGUGGCGAAUAACUACUACUAAUGACGGUACCUGAAGAAUAAGCACCGGCUAACUACGUGCCAGCAGCCGCGGUAAUACGUAGGGUGCAAGCGUUAAUCGGAAUUACUGGGCGUAAAGCGUGCGCAGGCGGUUGUGUAAGUCAGAUGUGAAAUCCCCGGGCUCAACCUGGGAAUUGCAUUUGAGACUGCACGGCUAGAGUGUGUCAGAGGGGGGUAGAAUUCCACGUGUAGCAGUGAAAUGCGUAGAUAUGUGGAGGAAUACCGAUGGCGAAGGCAGCCCCCUGGGAUAACACUGACGCUCAUGCACGAAAGCGUGGGGAGCAAACAGGAUUAGAUACCCCAGUAGUCCCA